Molecule: transfer RNA, 69 nt
Filed under: Parachiloglanis hodgarti
Lineage: Eukaryota; Metazoa; Chordata; Actinopteri; Siluriformes; Sisoridae
Description: tRNA-Met
Rfam family: tRNA
About the family: Transfer RNA (tRNA) molecules are approximately 80 nucleotides in length.
Source: RNAcentral
AGUAAGAUCAGCUAAGUAAGCUUUUGGGUCCAUACCCCAAAAAUGUAGGCUAAAAUCCUUCUCUUAUUA